Molecule: non-coding RNA, 422 nt
Organism: Nicotiana tabacum (common tobacco)
Lineage: Eukaryota; Viridiplantae; Streptophyta; Magnoliopsida; Solanales; Solanaceae
Source: RefSeq, a predicted model, not a curated record
UAUUAUUAUUAACGUUUUACAAGUUUUCUCUUCGUCUUUAGUAUUUUUCCCCUAUGUCUCUCUCACUCCACGCACAGACCACGAGUUUUCACUCCAUUCCCAGAAGACAUCAACCUACCUAGAAGGGCUUACAGUCUUAAGGAUCCAACACUGCUGUGUUACACCAGUCAGGGCAAAGUUUUCAACCAUCAUUCAGAGUGAUAUACUUCAUAUCUCCUAUCUAUAAAUAGAAUAAUUUCAAACAAAUCUUGGAGGAGUUUAUUCAAAGUCAGCCGAUUGAUGAUCAAGGUAGGCCAAUCCAACCAACCCAAAAGGAGCUCAUGGACAUAUGGAUUAAGGCAGCUGGUGGCAUGCAUAAGGGGAGAGUUUACGGCCUUGAUUCGGAGCUUUUAGAGACCGAGUUCAGAGACGAGGGCAUCCCG